GACGAACGCUGGCGGCGUGCCUAAAACAUGCAAGUCGAACGAGGUCUUCGGACCUAGUGGCGAACGGCGGAGUAAUACAUAUGUAACGUGCCUCGAAGAUUGGGAUAGUCCCGGGAAACUGGGUUUAAUACCAAAUGUGGUCGGAGGUGGCAUCAUCACCCGAUUAAAUGGUUUUUCGCUUCGAGAGCGGCUUAUGGGCUAUCAGCUAGUUGGUGAGGUAAUGGCUCACCAAGGCGACGACGGCUAGGGGGUCUGAGAGGAUGAUCCCCCGAGAGGGACUGAGACACGGCCCUCACACCUACGGGUGGCAGCAGUUGGGAAUCGUUGUCAAUGGGGGAAACCCUGAACACGCGACGCCGCGUGGUGGAUGAAGGCCUUAGGGUUGUAAACACCUUUUGCACGGAAAGACUUAGGACGGUACCGUGCGAA
Molecule: ribosomal RNA, 429 nt
Filed under: uncultured bacterium
Lineage: Bacteria
Description: bacterial SSU rRNA
Rfam family: Bacterial small subunit ribosomal RNA
Source: RNAcentral